GUGACCUCAAAUCAGGUAGGACUACCCGCUGAACUUAAGCAUAUCAAUAAGCGGAGGAAAAGAAACUAACAAGGAUUCCCCUAGUAACUGCGAGUGAAGCGGGAAAAGCUCAAAUUUAAAAUCUGGCAGUCUCUUUUGGCUGUCCGAGUUGUAAUCUAGAGAAGUGUUAUCCGCGCUGGACCGUGUACAAGUCUCCUGGAAUGGAGCAUCAUAGAGGGUGAGAAUCCCGUCUUUGACAUGGACUACCAGGGCUUUGUGAUGCGCUCUCAAAGAGUCGAGUUGUUUGGGAAUGCAGCUCAAAAUGGGUGGUAAAUUCCAUCUAAAGCUAAAUAUUGGCGAGAGACCGAUAGCGAACAAGUACCGUGAGGGAAAGAUGAAAAGAACUUUGGAAAGAGAGUUAAACAGUACGUGAAAUUGCUGAAAGGGAAACGCUUGAAGUCAGUCGCGUUGUCCAGGGAUCAACCUUGCUUUUGCUUGGUGCACUUUCUGGUUCAAUGGGUCAGCAUCAAUUUUGACCAUUGGAAAAAGGUCAGGGGAAUGUGGCAUCUUUGGAUGUGUUAUAGCCCUUGGUCAUAUACAAUGGUUGGGAUUGAGGAACUCAGCACGCCGCAAGGCCGGGUAUUAUACCACGUACGUGCUAGGAUGC
Molecule: ribosomal RNA, 646 nt
Filed under: Cortinarius balaustinus
Lineage: Eukaryota; Fungi; Basidiomycota; Agaricomycetes; Agaricales; Cortinariaceae
Description: eukaryotic LSU rRNA
Rfam family: Eukaryotic large subunit ribosomal RNA
Source: RNAcentral